Oncorhynchus tshawytscha (Chinook salmon) is the source of this 949-nucleotide long non-coding RNA. NCBI's taxonomy places the organism in Eukaryota, Metazoa, Chordata, Actinopteri, Salmoniformes, Salmonidae. The record is from Ensembl.
UUGACGACUAACUACAAAGGAGCACCAAGACUGCACCGAGCCAGUCAGUGUAGAGACCUUCCCUUUGAACAUCCCUUGACGAUGGGAACGAUGACUACUCUCCUCCUACUGGCCUGCCUGUCAAUGGCCUUACCAUACACCGUCUGUGGUGAGCUGGUAAAUCCAUUUAAUCUCCUGAAAGAUCGAGUGGACUGUAUGGAAAAGCAGCUGGGCAAGAUUGUAACCCCGGAGGAGGACCUCAGUGCAACAAACGCAAAACUGAAGUUGCAGGUAGCAAGAGUAGACACACUGAGGCAAGAGAAUGAAGGUACAUCUAAUAAGGUAGCAGCUCUGGAGGCCAAGCUCAAUGCUACAGAGGAAGACUUGGAGGCCCAGAAAGUUGAAGUGGGUAGACUGAGAGGCUUGGAGGAAAACCUGAACUCUAGAGCAGCAGCAGCUGGAUGGACAAAGAGUGUUGGUGGCCAGGCUCAAUGCCAUGAAGACAGAGCUGGAAGCUGAAGUACAGGAGCUGAAGAGAGACAACAGAGUAAAUGUGGCGUUGAAAGGAGUGGCCGCUCAGUCAUCUCUAUAUGGAAUCGGUGUAGCUUCAAAUGCCAUUGAUGGGACCAGAGAACAUGAAUAUAACAAACAAUCCUGCAGCCACACUCAGGAUGACACCAACCCCUGGUGGAGAGUGGACCUUCUGGGAAACGUGGUGUUGAAAGGAGUGGCCACCCAGUCAUCACUGUAUGGGGAUGGCCAGGCUAACAAUGUCAUUGAUGGCAACAGAGAAUCAGACUAUCACAAAGGCUCCUGCAGCUGCACUUCGUUUAACACCAACCCCUGGUGGAGAGUGGACCUGCUGGAUCUGUUCAGAGUGACAGCUGUCACCAUCAACAACCCCUGGUGGAGAGUGGACCUGCUGGAUCUGUUCAGAGUGACAGCUGUCACCAUCAACAACCCCUGGUGG